UAAGGAAAAUUGGUCAAUGGACGCAAGUCUGAACCAGCCAUGCCGCGUGAAGGAUUAAGGCCCUCUGGGUUGUAAACUUCUUUUAUAGGGGAAGAAAUGUGACGGUUCUCCGUCACUUGACGGUACCCUGGGAAUAAGCACCGGCUAACUACGUGCCAGCAGCCGCGGUAAUACGUAGGGUGCAAGCGUUAAUCGGAAUUACUGGGCGUAAAGCGUGCGCAGGCGGUUUUGUAAGACGGAUGUGAAAUCCCCGGGCUUAACCUGGGAACUGCAUUCGUGACUGCAAUGCUAGAGUAUGGCAGAGGGGGGUAGAAUUCCACGUGUAGCAGUGAAAUGCGUAGAGAUGUGGAGGAAUACCGAUGGCGAAGGCAGCCCCCUGGGCCAAUACUGACGCUCAUGCACGAAAGCGUGGGGAGCAAACA
This 422-nucleotide ribosomal RNA is filed under the name uncultured bacterium. RNAcentral's name for it is "bacterial SSU rRNA". It matches the Rfam family "Bacterial small subunit ribosomal RNA", at positions 355 to 774 of the family's 1533-position model. The record is from RNAcentral.